UCAGCGGCGACGACAUUGCGCAUUUCUGCUUAGCUGCACAUAGAAACUGAAUCUUGGCACUUUCAAAAUGGCUAACUGGGCCAUUAAAACCAUUGACGGGCAUACGUCAAACUGAUGCUGAUGGCCGUAGCCCAUCGUCUUGGCCAGCUGCCUCUUAUCGGGCCGAACACGUUUUGUCCUUAAACGUUUUACAGCUACCAACUGUCGGGCAGGAGUCCCUAUCCUCCGGCCACGGAACUGGUGAUGGCAUCCAACGAAAGGCUGCUGGAAGGAACACCCAUUUAACAAGUCAACCCGUGCGGGCAAGACCAUAAAUAUUGGCAAUUUAACAGAGUCAACAGUAUGGCACUCGACGGCACAACUCCGACUGGGGGACACUGGGCAUUUGGCUGCCGGGGUUGGGGUCCCUGGAUUGGGGGUCCAUAAUACACCUUGUCGUACACGAUCCUUAUCUCUUGGAAUUUCUCGUGCGUGUCUGGCGUGCCAAAAAGUAUAAAAAUAAAGCACAAGGAACCUCAAGAAGCCAAUUGAAGAUCAUCGAAUGCUGGUUGAACUACAUAUUAUGUACAUAUAUCAUAUCAAU
Non-coding RNA from Drosophila melanogaster (fruit fly), 583 nucleotides. NCBI's taxonomy places the organism in Eukaryota, Metazoa, Arthropoda, Insecta, Diptera, Drosophilidae. The record is from Ensembl.